CCAUCAAAGUCCCUCGGUGGCGUAGUAGGUAGAGCCGCGGACCUCCGUUCACGAGGUACUCGGUUCAAACCCAGCUGCAGAGGCAAGCUUGUGCGUGUAAUUAAAAAAUCUUUCGUGCAAUUAUCAACAUUACACGCCAAGUACCGGGGGACUACCAGUUUAGCCGAGCUAACAGAUAAUGCACGCCAUCUGUUAGCAGAAUCAAAAAAGCUGAAACUGGUUCGAGCGUCUAUAGAGGUCAACACUGAGGAGCUCAGGGUCUCUAAACUACCCGGCUAGCUCCAAGGUGCUUGUGUAGAUGUCACUAGAAAGCAACGGGAAACUACUAGUGGAAGCUCGAAACAACGUCGAUUCCCCAGAAUAAUCGCAGUGGCAAUAGGCAUUCGCCUCACCCUGUAAGGGUACCACAAAAAUGCGAUUUCCAAUGUCCUGUAAAGGACAAGGAACCACGACGACGACGUAUGUACCAUCAACAGUCAGGUUUCCCACUCACAAUCAGAUUGAGGGAAGUUCUGGUUUUCCUUGUCUCAAUUCAAGAAGUCUACAUAACAUGUUGGGUUGGGGCUACUUUGGAACAAACUGCGACCGACUUAUCUUUCGCCGUAUAUUCUACACCGUGGUAUUGGUUGAAAAGCAUUCGCAAAGACGUUUACAUACUUCUAUGCCAAACACAAGCAGAAAUCAAUCCGCGAGCCUUGAAUGUUUAUCCACUCACAUUGGCAACAUUUCUGCGAUUUUGCAACGUUAUCAAUUCCACAGUGAAUGUUUUUCGAGCAUACACACGAAAAUAAUCAAUAUAAGGAAAUCACUUUGUCCAGAACACCAACAAUUGCAACAAUGUGCCGGAGAUAAAUAUGGGAACAGCAGAAGAAGCUCACCAAGCAACGGAGAAAAAAUUAAACAACCUCACCAAAAAAACAUUCGUGGUCCAGAAUAUUAUUAAUUUCACCUGUUUGAAAGAAUGCACUCAGUAUACAUAUGUAUAGAUAAGUAUAGGAACACUAUGUAGCUAUAAAAAAAUUAAUAUGAGCUGGCAACUACAAUUACCUACAUAU
Planococcus citri (citrus mealybug) is the source of this 1055-nucleotide long non-coding RNA. RefSeq lists it as uncharacterized. NCBI's taxonomy places the organism in Eukaryota, Metazoa, Arthropoda, Insecta, Hemiptera, Pseudococcidae. The record is from RefSeq and is a predicted model, not a curated record. The transcript is spliced from 3 exons.